GACGAACGCUGGCGGCGUGCUUAACACAUGCAAGUCGAACGGAAAGGCCCUGCUUGCAGGGUACUCGAGUGGCGAACGGGUGAGUAACACGUGGGUGAUCUGCCCCGCACUUCGGGAUAAGCUUGGGAAACUGGGUCUAAUACCGGAUAGGAACCAUCUUUAGUGUGGUGGUUGGAAAGUUUUUUCGGUGGAGGAUGAGCUCGCGGCCUAUCAGCUUGUUGGUGGGGUAAUGGCCUAACAAGGCGGCGACGGGUAGCCGGCCUGAGAGGGUGUACGGCCACAUUGGGACUGAGAGACGGCCCAGACUCCUACGGGAGGCAGCAGUGGGGAAUAUUGCACAAUGGGCGCAAGCCUGAUGCAGCGACGCCGCGUGGGGGAUGAAGGCCUUCGGGUGGUAAACUCCUUUCGCGAGGGACGAAGCUUUGUUGUGACGGUACCUAGAUAAGAAGCACCGGCUAACUACGUG
This 466-nucleotide ribosomal RNA is filed under the name uncultured bacterium. Its description in RNAcentral is "partial 16S ribosomal RNA". It matches the Rfam family "Bacterial small subunit ribosomal RNA", at positions 28 to 507 of the family's 1533-position model. The record is from RNAcentral.